This 253-nucleotide ribosomal RNA is filed under the name uncultured bacterium. RNAcentral describes it as "partial 16S ribosomal RNA". It matches the Rfam family "Bacterial small subunit ribosomal RNA", at positions 524 to 776 of the family's 1533-position model. The record is from RNAcentral.
UACGGGGGGGGCAAGCGUUGUUCGGAAUUACUGGGCGUAAAGGGCUCGUAGGCGGCCAACUAAGUCGGAUGUGAAAUCCCCAGGCUUAACCUGGGAACUGCAUCCGAUACUGGAUGGCUUGAAUCCGGGAGAGGGAUGCAGAAUUCCAGGUGUAGCGGUGAAAUUCGUAGAUAUUGGGAAGAACACCGGUGGCGAAGGCGGCGAGCUGGCCUGUACCUGACGCUGAGGCGCGACAGCGUGGGGAGCAAACAGG